GGGCAUCUCAUUAGUUAAUACAUCCUGGUUCUUGGGCCUUUCAUUAGUUAAUACAUCCUGUUCUCGGGCCUACCAUUGGUUAAUACACCCUGGUUCUGGUUCCUUUCAUUAGUUAAUACAUCCUGGUUCUCGGGCAACUCAUUAGUUAAUACAUCCUGGUUCUCGGGCCUUUCAUUACUUAAUACAUCCUUGUUGGUCGGGCCUUUCAUUAGUUAAUACAUCCUGGUUGUCGUGCCUUUCAUUAGUUAAUAUAGAGCAUGAGACGCCAGGGAACCAGGAUGUAACCUGACUAACCUGAUUGUGUUUGUUUUUUAUUGUUGAAAACCGGACAGCCAAGUCUGUAUCCGGACUGGUGUCAUAUAUGCAUAUACAGGCAAACAAGGAUAAGUUGGACCGGAGCAGAGAACGCGUUUACGAGAAGUAGGCGGUGCACGGCAAUGAGCAAAUCCAUUUGGUUUCGGAAAGGUAGAGCAGAUGUAGGCUAGUGCACGUGCAGUACAUGACCAUGAAAUUGAUUAGACAGGCCACGCUCUUCACCCAUCGCACUACACUUGAUCGCGGACAACUGGGGGCCCUUCCCUAACAAUGGCAAGCGCCAUUGGGCGGCACUCAUAUAUAUGCUAAUACGCGUCAAUUGUCAGGUCAGUGCCCAACUUAUCCUUGUUUGCCAGUAUGUGCAUGUUUUUCUUUCAUUAAAAAUUGUCUUGGAAUUCUGAAUCAAGACACCAGUCUACAUAGUGAAUUGUAAAUGCGGACAUGUAUUGCAUGAUAUGUUUAAUUGUAGCCUAUCUAGUUGUAUUUAGAUGGUGAUAUUUAACGUGACGCCAACUGAGAAUCUAUGAUUGUGUAACCUGUUGUCACUGAUGAGAAACCUCUCAUGAGUCAUGAACAUUUAUCUUACUAAAUUUAUAGACAUUUUGUUUAAAAUAUCAGGUACCCACAAACUACUGUGUUUUGUGUCUGCUAUAAACCUUUUAGAAUUGUUUGAUUUGUUUCACAUGUGUAAAAUGACUAUCAUCAUGAUGUUCGGCUUCAUUUGUCAAUAAUUUCCAGCAACAAACAAAGGUAAUGAAAGUCUUCAAAGGGCAUGGUCAUCUAACGUCAACGAUGCUUUGCCCUUAAACGGGCAAAGCAUCGUUUAAACACAUUAACAUUGCGCAGAUCAAUGCUCAUGCUGGUGAUCACUCGAUUGUCUGGAUCUGACUCGAAUAUUUCCAGAUCGCCUCCUUAUAGCUGGAAAAUUAACAUUAGCAUUGCGUUGCCAUUUUUUAUGCGUGUGGUGAUAUCUUUUUAUGCUUCCAUGUUAGUUUUAAUACCAUUCGUAGUUGAUGUAAUCAUAGUCCUGUCCUUCUCAUGUUUUCUUUGCUUUAUGGCUUGUUGUAUUAGAUAUAGGUGUGUUUUUUUCUUGGUUAAGGCUUGUUGGUCUUGUUAUAGUGCUGAUUUAAUCUUAUAUUUUGAUUCAUUCAACUCUGUUCUCUCUAAAGUAUAUCAAUGCAUCUGUCAGUUAUCACGUAGCUUUUGGAAUGUGAAUAAACUUUCAACACCCCAUAAA
This 1552-nucleotide long non-coding RNA is filed under the name Haliotis rubra (blacklip abalone). RNAcentral describes it as "uncharacterized LOC124257843". Lineage: Eukaryota; Metazoa; Mollusca; Gastropoda; Lepetellida; Haliotidae. The record is from RNAcentral.